UACGGAGGGGGCUAGCGUUGUUCGGAAUUACUGGGCGUAAAGCGCGCGUAGGCGGACCUGCAAGUCGGGGGUGAAAGCCCGAGGCUCAACCUCGGAACUGCCUUCGAUACUGCGGGUCUCGAGUCCGGGAGAGGUGAGUGGAAUUCCUGGUGUAGCGGUGAAAUGCGUAGAUAUCAGGAGGAACACCUGUGGUGUAGACAGCUUACUGGACCAUUUCUGACGCUGAGACACGAAAGCGUGGGUAGCAAACAGG
RNAcentral lists this ribosomal RNA (253 nucleotides) under uncultured bacterium. RNAcentral's name for it is "partial 16S ribosomal RNA". It matches the Rfam family "Bacterial small subunit ribosomal RNA", at positions 524 to 776 of the family's 1533-position model. The record is from RNAcentral.